Molecule: ribosomal RNA, 433 nt
Filed under: uncultured bacterium
Lineage: Bacteria
Description: partial 16S ribosomal RNA
Rfam family: Bacterial small subunit ribosomal RNA
Source: RNAcentral
AACGAACGCUGGCGGCAUGCCUAACACAUGCAAGUCGAACGAGACCUGCGGGUCUAGUGGCGCACGGGUGCGUAACGCGUGGGAACCUGCCCUUAGGGUCGGAAUAACUCGCCGAAAGUGGUGCUAAUACCGGAUAAUGUCUUCGGACCAAAGAUUUAUCGCCUUUGGUUGGGCCCGCGUUGGAUUAGCUAGUUGGUAGGGUAAAAGCCUACCAAGGCGACGAUCCAUAGCUGGUCUGAGAGGAUGAUCAGCCACACUGGGACUGAGACACGGCCAAGACUCCUACGGGAGGCAGCAGUGGGGAAUAUUGGACAAUGGGAGAAAGCCUGAUCCAGCAAUGCCGCGUGAGUGAUGAAGGCCUUAGGGUUGUAAAGUUCUUUUACCCGGGAUGAUAAUGACAGUACCGAGAGAAUAAGCUCCGGCUAACUACGUG